UACGUAGGGAGCGAGCGUUGUCCGGAAUUACUGGGUGUAAAGGGUGCGCAGGCGGGACAUUAAGUUGGAUGUGAAAUGCCGGGGCUCAACCCCGGAGCUGCAUCCAAAACUGAAGUUCUUGAGUGAAGUAGAGGCAGGCGGAAUUCCGAGUGUAGCGGUGAAAUGCGUAGAUAUUCGGAGGAACACCAGUGGCGAAGGCGGCCUGCUGGGCUUUAACUGACGCUGAGGCACGAAAGCAUGGGGAGCAAACAGG
RNAcentral lists this ribosomal RNA (253 nucleotides) under uncultured bacterium. Its description in RNAcentral is "partial 16S ribosomal RNA". It matches the Rfam family "Bacterial small subunit ribosomal RNA", at positions 524 to 776 of the family's 1533-position model. The record is from RNAcentral.